CAUAGCGACUAUCGUGGCAUAUCAAUAAGCGGAAGAAAAGAAACUAACUAAGGAUUCCCUUAGUAACGGCGAGUGAAGCGGGAAGAGCUCAAAUUUGAAAUCUUCAAGGUUCUACCUUGACGAAUUGUAGUUUAUAGAAGUGUUUUCUGUUAGUAGAGUGGCAAAAGUUCUUUGGAAUAGGACAUCAUAGAGGGUGAGAAUCCCGUAUUUGGUCAUUCCUUCCUAGCUUUGUGAUACACUUUCAACGAGUCGGAUUGUUUGGGAAUGCAGUCCAAAAUGGGUGGUAAAUUUCAUCUAAAGCUAAAUAUUGGCGAGAGACCGAUAGCGAACAAGUACCGUGAGGGAAAGAUGAAAAGAACUUUGAAAAGAGAGUUAAACAGUACGUGAAAUUGUCAAAAGGGAAGCGUUUGACACCAGUGUUGUUUAGUUGAAAAUCAAUUCAAUAGUUUUUGAUUCUAAGUAGUAUUGACUUCAUCAGCUUGCUGCUUUCUUCUCAGAAAUUAUUGAAUGCACUUUUCAGUUAACAAGUCAACAUCAAUUUCUUUUGUUGUAAAAAGGUAAGAGGAAGGUGGCUUGCGCUUCGGCUCAAGUGUUUAUAGCCUUUUACCCCUGCAGUCGGAGAGAUUGAGGUCUGCAGCGUAGAUCCUUCGGGGUUAGAUACAUUUGUGCUAAGCUAUAGCCUUGUAUAGACAACUUGUUGACUAUGCUCAGUCAUGUAGCUUACUCACUUAUGCUAUUUUACCUACGCUUAGGAUGUUGACGAGACUGUCGAUCUC
RNAcentral lists this ribosomal RNA (776 nucleotides) under uncultured Neocallimastigales. RNAcentral's name for it is "partial large subunit ribosomal RNA". It matches the Rfam family "Eukaryotic large subunit ribosomal RNA", at positions 22 to 646 of the family's 3401-position model. The record is from RNAcentral. Lineage: Eukaryota; Fungi; Neocallimastigomycota; Neocallimastigomycetes; Neocallimastigales.